UAGUCCACGCCGUAAACGAUGAGUACUAGUUAUUAGAGGUAUUGACUCCUUUAGUGACGCAGCUAACGCAUUAAGUACUCCGCCUGGGAAGUACGGUCGCAAGACUAAAACUCAAAGGAAUUGACGGGGGCCCGCACAAGCGGUGGAUUAUGUGGUUUAAUUCGAAGCAACGCGCAGAACCUUACCUAGGCUUGAAAUCCUCAGAAUUCGAUGUAAUUUUCGAAGUGCCCGCAAGGGAAUUGAGUGACAGGUGCUGCAUGGCUGUCGUCAGCUCGUGUUGUGAAAUGUUGGGUUAAGUCUCGCAACGAGCGCAACCCCGUAUCUUUAGUUGCCAGCAUUAAGUUGGGCACUCUAGAGAGACUGCCCGGGUUAACCGGGAGGAAGGUGGGGAUGACGUCAAGUCCUCAUGGCCCUUAUGCCUAGGGCUACGACACGUAAUACAAUGGUACAUACAAAGAGAAGCGAUCAGGUGACUGUCAGCUAAUCUCAAAAAGUGUAUCACAGUCCGGAUUG
RNAcentral lists this ribosomal RNA (513 nucleotides) under uncultured bacterium. RNAcentral describes it as "bacterial SSU rRNA". It matches the Rfam family "Bacterial small subunit ribosomal RNA", at positions 791 to 1300 of the family's 1533-position model. The record is from RNAcentral.